GGGAAUGUAGCUCAGGGGUAUAGUGCCUGCCUGGCGAGCAGGAAGUUUUGGGUUCCAUUCCUC
RNAcentral lists this transfer RNA (63 nucleotides) under Cavia porcellus (domestic guinea pig). It matches the Rfam family "tRNA", at positions 1 to 62 of the family's 71-position model. From Rfam's summary of the family: Transfer RNA (tRNA) molecules are approximately 80 nucleotides in length. Their secondary structure includes four short double-helical elements and three loops (D, anti-codon, and T loops). Lineage: Eukaryota; Metazoa; Chordata; Mammalia; Rodentia; Caviidae. The record is from Rfam by way of RNAcentral.